AAUGAGUUCAACCACAAUUCUCAAAAGCUUCACGCACUCUUGAUCAAGACAGUGUGAAGCAAAACCAAUUUAUGGUGCCAACAAAAGCUUCAUCAAAGAAGUUCAACCACAAUUCUCAAAAGCUUCACACUCUUGAUCAAGACAGUGUGAAGCAAAACCAAUUUAUGGUGCCAACAAGAGCUUCAUCAAUGGAGGGCAACCACAAUUCUCAAAAGCUUCACACACUCUUGAUCAAAACAGAGUGAAGCAAAACCAAUUAAUGAAGGGCAACCACAAUUCUCAAAAGCUUCACACACUCUUGAUCAAGACAGUGUGAAGCAAAACUAAUUUAUGGUGCCAACAAAAGCUUUAUCAAAGAAGUUCAACCACAAUUCUCAAAAGCUUCACACACUCUUGUUCAAGACAGUGUGAAGCAAAACCAAUUUAUGGUGCCAACAAAAGCUUCAUCAAUGGAGGGUAACUACAAUUAUCAAACCUUCAAAGCAAAUUCAAGAUUGUUCGAAGCAAAUUCAAUUUAUAUGGUUCAUCCAAACCUUCGACUACUACAAGGUGUGGCUUGCAUCACAAUCUCUCACUCAACAGUGUGGAAGCAAAAUUUGUAUAUGUUGUCUCUCCCACAUUUUCAAAUUUCUAGUUUCCUAAAAAAAAAAAAAAAAAAAAAAGAAAGGAAAUUCAACAAAGCUUCAUCAAUGGAUGACAACUACAAAUUCUCAAAAGCUUCACACUAUCUUGAUCAAGAUAGUAUGAAACAAAAUCAAUUCGUGGUACCUAACAAAGCUUCACCACAAAAGCUUCAUCAAUGGAGGACAACUACAAAUUCUCAAAAGCUUCACACUAUCUUGAUCAAGAUAGUGUGAAGCAAAAUCAAUUCAUGGUACUUAACAAAACCUUCAACUCCAAAGCUUCACCAACAAAAGCUUCAUCAAUGAAGGACAAUUACAAAUUCUCAAAAGCUUCACACUAUCUUGAUCAAGAUAGUGUGAAUCUAAAUCAAUUUGUGGUACCCAACAAAGCUUCACCACAAAAGCUUCACCAACAAAAGCUUCAUCAAUGGAGGACAACUACAAAUUCUCAAAAGCUUUACACUAUCUUGAUCAAGAUAGUGUGAAGCAAAAUCAAUUCAUGGUACCCAACAAAAGCUUCAACUCCAAAGCUUCACCUACAAAGCUUCAACUCCAAAGCUUCACCCAUAAAAGCUUCACCUCCAAAGCUUCACAUAUAAAGCUUCAACUCCAAAACUUCACCUACAAAAGCUUCAUCCACAAUAACUUCACCUACAAAAGCUUCACCCACAAAAGCUUCACCCACAAAAGCUUCCCCCACCA
RNAcentral lists this long non-coding RNA (1325 nucleotides) under Malus domestica (apple). Its description in RNAcentral is "long non-coding RNA (MDOM_LNC007143)". Lineage: Eukaryota; Viridiplantae; Streptophyta; Magnoliopsida; Rosales; Rosaceae. The record is from RNAcentral.